UUAAGUUAAUAAGGGCGCACGGUGGAUGCCUUGGCACUAGAAGCCGAUGAAGGACGUGACUAACGACGAAAUGCUUUGGGGAGCUGUAAGUGAGCAAUGAUCCAGAGAUGUCCGAAUGGGGGAACCCGGCAGGUAAUGCCUGUCACUCAUUACUGUUAAGGUAAUGUAGAGGAAGACGCAGUGAACUGAAACAUCUAAGUAGCUGUAGGAAGAGAAAGCAAAAGCGAUUGCCUUAGUAGCGGCGAGCGAAACGGCAAGAGGGCAAACCGAAGAGUUUACUCUUCGGGGUUGUAGGACUGCAACGUGGACUUAAAGAUUAUAGAAGAACUACCUGGGAAGGUAGGCCAAAGAGAGUAAUAGCCUCGUAUUCGAAAUAGUCUUUAUACCUAGCAGUAUCCUGAGUACGGCGAGACACGAGAAAUCUCGUCGGAAUCUGGGAGGACCAUCUCCCAACCCUAAAUACUCUCUAGUGACCGAUAGUGAACCAGUACCGUGAGGGAAAGGUGAAAAGCACCCCGGGAGGGGAGUGAAAUAGAACCUGAAACCGUGUGCCUACAACAAGUUCGAGCCCGUUAAUGGGUGAGAGCGUGCCUUUUGUAGAAUGAACCGGCGAGUUACGAUAUGAUGCGAGGUUAAGUUGAAGAGACGGAGCCGUAGGGAAACCGAGUCUUAAUAGGGCGCAUUAGUAUCAUGUCGUAGACCCGAAACCAUGUGACCUACCCAUGAGCAGGUUGAAGGUGAGGUAAAACUCACUGGAGGACCGAACCAGGGCACGUUGAAAAGUGCUUGGAUGACUUGUGGGUAGCGGAGAAAUUCCAAACGAACUUGGAGAUAGCUGGUUCUCUCCGAAAUAGCUUUAGGGCUAGCGUCGAUGUUAAGUCUCUUGGAGGUAGAGCACUGUUUGGGUGAGGGGUCCAUCCCGGAUUACCAAUCUCAGAUAAACUCCGAAUGCCAAUGAGAUAUAAUCGGCAGUCAGACUGCGAGUGCUAAGAUCCGUAGUCGAAAGGGAAACAGCCCAGACCACCAGCUAAGGUCCCAAAAUAUAUGUUAAGUGGAAAAGGAUGUGGGGUUGCACAGACAACUAGGAUGUUAGCUUAGAAGCAGCUAUUCAUUCAAAGAGUGCGUAAUAGCUCACUAGUCGAGUGACCCUGCGCCGAAAAUGUACCGGGGCUAAAACAUAUUACCGAAGCUGUGGAUACCUUUAUAGGUAUGGUAGGAGAGCGUUCUAUGUGCGAAGAAGGUGUACCGUGAGGAGUGCUGGAGCGCAUAGAAGUGAGAAUGCCGGUAUGAGUAGCGAAAGACAGGUGAGAAUCCUGUCCACCGUAAGACUAAGGUUUCCAGGGGAAGGCUCGUCCGCCCUGGGUUAGUCGGGACCUAAGGAGAGACCGAAAGGUGUAUCCGAUGGACAACAGGUUGAUAUUCCUGUACUAGAGUAUAUAGUGAUGGAGGGACGCAGUAGGCUAACUAAACCAGACGAUUGGAAGUGUCUGGCCAAGCAGUGAGGUGUGAUAUGAGUCAAAUGCUUAUAUCUUUAACAUUGAGCUGUGAUGGGGAGCGAAGUUUAGUAGCGAAGUUAGUGAUGUCACACUGCCGAGAAAAGCUUCUAGCGUUAAUUAUACUCUACCCGUACCGCAAACCGACACAGGUAGUCGAGGCGAGUAGCCUCAGGUGAGCGAGAGAACUCUCGUUAAGGAACUCGGCAAAAUGGCCCCGUAACUUCGGGAGAAGGGGCGCUGACUGAUGGUCAGCCGCAGUGAAUAGGCCCAAGCAACUGUUUAUCAAAAACACAGCUCUCUGCUAAAUCGUAAGAUGAUGUAUAGGGGGUGACGCCUGCCCGGUGCUGGAAGGUUAAGAGGAGUGCUUAGCGUAAGCGAAGGCAUGAAUUGAAGCCCCAGUAAACGGCGGCCGUAACUAUAACGGUCCUAAGGUAGCGAAAUUCCUUGUCGGGUAAGUUCCGACCCGCACGAAAGGCGUAAUGAUUUGGGCACUGUCUCAACGAGAGACUCGGUGAAAUUUUAGUACCUGUGAAGAUGCAGGUUACCCGCGACAGGACGGAAAGACCCCAUGGAGCUUUACUGCAGUUUGAUAUUGAGUAUCUGUACCACAUGUACAGGAUAGGUAGGAGCCUAUGACCUCGGGACGCCAGUUUCGAGUGAGGCGUUGUUGGGAUACUACCCUUGUGUUAUGGCUACUCUAACCCAGAUAGGUUAUCCCUAUCGGAGACAGUGUCUGACGGGCAGUUUGACUGGGGCGGUCGCCUCCUAAAAGGUAACGGAGGCGCCCAAAGGUUCCCUCAGAAUGGUUGGAAAUCAUUCGCAGAGUGUAAAGGUAUAAGGGAGCUUGACUGCGAGAGCUACAACUCGAGCAGGGACGAAAGUCGGGCUUAGUGAUCCGGUGGUUCCG
Molecule: ribosomal RNA, 2403 nt
Filed under: human gut metagenome
Description: bacterial LSU rRNA
Rfam family: Bacterial large subunit ribosomal RNA
Source: RNAcentral